UUUAUCUGUUUUUAGACCCUAAGUUCAUAGUUUGUAACGAUCUUCCCUUAAGCGCCUUGAUCUCUAAUCCUUUCUUUAUAUGCUAAUCUUAUUACUUCUUAAGUUUCUCAUUUCACAUAUUUAAAGAACAAAAAUUAAUUUAGCAUUUGUGUGACCACCUCAUAUAUCAACUCUAAAAUAAAUCAAGCUUACUAAUGUAAGUUCCUCGCACGAUAUUAUGUGUGCACCUCAAAUGCUAAAACAAAAUAAAUUCGACACCUAGAUAAUAAAACUGCAUUUUGAUUUGGUCACCUUUCACAUGUGAAGAUAAUAAAAUCUAAGGUACUAAAAUACCUCUUCCUCAGGUUAAUCUCUUAAUUAAUCACCUCAUAAGCUAAGGAAUAUAUAAAAAAAAAAGGUUGACGUGCAAAACAAAUAUAGGGUAAAAAUAGGCUAAGAUAAUGUUAUUAGGAUAGGCAAAGACUCGUAUGCUUUAGUGGAGGAUAGGCUUUAACGCCUAGGAGGACAUGGGUGCUUUCGUAAACCUUCACUAUUUAUACCUAACUUUUCAAACUUAGAAUCUCUGAUCUUAGGGAAGGAGAAACUGAGGCUCUCCGCAAGGGGUAUAAAGUCGUCAUCCUCACUCUCAAAACUUAUCCUGAUAUAAUUGGAUGAUACUCCUUCUUUGAUUGAUCUAAGGCUUUUCGUAAUCCCUUAGAACCCUCAACCGAACGGCUCA
RNAcentral lists this long non-coding RNA (718 nucleotides) under Ricinus communis (castor bean). RNAcentral's name for it is "long non-coding RNA (RCOM_LNC003143)". The record is from RNAcentral. Lineage: Eukaryota; Viridiplantae; Streptophyta; Magnoliopsida; Malpighiales; Euphorbiaceae.